RNAcentral lists this long non-coding RNA (370 nucleotides) under Capsicum annuum. RNAcentral describes it as "long non-coding RNA (CANN_LNC000561)". Lineage: Eukaryota; Viridiplantae; Streptophyta; Magnoliopsida; Solanales; Solanaceae. The record is from RNAcentral.
UUUAUCUUUGUUUUAGUAUCAUAGUUUAGUUUUUAAUUUUUUGUACUUUGUUCUUAUAUCAUUUGUGUAAUACCCCACAAGAUUUUAGACUAGUUUCCAGCUAUUUAUCACAUGUUUAGAAGUCCCAUAGCUAUUUAAUUUACACAAAGUACAAGUGAUAUGGCCAUUUUGACACCCCAAGAUUUCGAACAUUUUAAUUUUGGUCUUCUCGAGUUUGAAAUGUUGAUUUGUGAGUUGAAAUAUGUUUAGGGAUAUUAAAAGGGUCAUCUGAGAGAGUUUUAAAAUUUUCAAAAGAGGUUUGGGGCAUUUUUGGACCACGGAGGCAGUAAGCCUUCGUGAUUUCAGUAUGUCGCAGAGGUUAGCCUCCGUG